Molecule: transfer RNA, 65 nt
Filed under: Italochrysa insignis
Lineage: Eukaryota; Metazoa; Arthropoda; Insecta; Neuroptera; Chrysopidae
Description: tRNA-Asn
Source: RNAcentral
UUAAUUGAAGCCAAAAUAGAGGCUUAUCACUGUUAAUGAUAUAAUUGAAUAUUAUUCCAAUUAAA